UCUGGCGACCAUAGUGCGGUAGUUCUACCUGAAUCCAUUCCGAACUCAGAAGUAAAAUGCCGUAAUGCCGAUGGUAGUGUGGGGAUUCCCCAUGUGAGAGUAGGGCAUCGCCAGAU
This 116-nucleotide ribosomal RNA is filed under the name Pseudohaemophilus parahaemolyticus. Lineage: Bacteria; Pseudomonadati; Pseudomonadota; Gammaproteobacteria; Pasteurellales; Pasteurellaceae. The record is from RNAcentral.